UACGAAGGGGGCUAGCGUUGCUCGGAAUCACUGGGCGUAAAGGGUGCGUAGGCGGGUCUUUAAGUCAGGGGUGAAAUCCUGGAGCUCAACUCCAGAACUGCCUUUGAUACUGGGAAGCUUGAGUCCGGAAGAGGUGAGUGGAACUCCGAGUGUAGAGGUGAAAUUCGUAGAUAUUCGGAAGAACACCAGUGGCGAAGGCGGCUCACUGGUCCGGUACUGACGCUGAGGUGCGAAAGCGUGGGGAGCAAACAGG
Molecule: ribosomal RNA, 253 nt
Filed under: uncultured bacterium
Lineage: Bacteria
Description: partial 16S ribosomal RNA
Rfam family: Bacterial small subunit ribosomal RNA
Source: RNAcentral